GACGAACGCUGGCGGCGUGCUUAACACAUGCAAGUCGAACGGAAAGGCCCUGCUUUUGUGGGGUGCUCGAGUGGCGAACGGGUGAGUAACACGUGAGUAACCUGCCCUUGACUUUGGGAUAACUUCAGGAAACUGGGGCUAAUACCGGAUAGGAGCUCCUGCUGCAUGGUGGGGGUUGGAAAGUUUCGGCGGUUGGGGAUGGACUCGCGGCUUAUCAGCUUGUUGGUGGGGUAGUGGCUUACCAAGGCUUUGACGGGUAGCCGGCCUGAGAGGGUGACCGGCCACAUUGGGACUGAGAUACGGCCCAGACUCCUACGGGAGGCAGCAGUGGGGAAUAUUGCACAAUGGGCGGAAGCCUGAUGCAGCAACGCCGCGUGCGGGAUGACGGCCUUCGGGUUGUAAACCGCUUUCGCCUGUGACGAAGCGUGAGUGACGGUAAUGGGUAAAGAAGCACCGGCUAACUACGUGCCAGCAGCCGCGGUGAUACGUAGGGUGCGAGCGUUGUCCGGAUUUAUUGGGCGUAAAGGGCUCGUAGGUGGUUGAUCGCGUCGGAAGUGUAAUCUUGGGGCUUAACCCUGAGCGUGCUUUCGAUACGGGUUGACUUGAGGAAGGUAGGGGAGAAUGGAAUUCCUGGUGGAGCGGUGGAAUGCGCAGAUAUCAGGAGGAACACCAGUGGCGAAGGCGGUUCUCUGGGCCUUUCCUGACGCUGAGGAGCGAAAGCGUGGGGAGCGAACAGGCUUAGAUACCCUGGUAGUCCACGCUGUAAACGGUGGGUACUAGGUGUGGGGUCCAUUCCACGGGUUCCGUGCCGUAGCUAACGCUUUAAGUACCCCGCCUGGGGAGUACGGCCGCAAGGCUAAAACUCAAAGGAAUUGACGGGGCCCCGCACAAGCGGCGGAGCAUGCGGAUUAAUUCGAUGCAACGCGUAGAACCUUACCUGGGUUUGACAUGGAUCGGGAGUACUCAGAGAUGGGUGUGCCUCUUUUGGGGUCGGUUCACAGGUGGUGCAUGGCUGUCGCCAGCUCGUGUCGUGAGAUGUUGGGUUAAGUCCCGCAACGAGCGCAACCCUUGUUCACUGUUGCCAGCACGUUAUGGUGGGGACUCAGUGGAGACCGCCGGGGUCAACUCGGAGGAAGGUGGGGAUGACGUCAAGUCAUCAUGCCCCUUAUGUCCAGGGCUUCACGCAUGCUACAAUGGCUGGUACAGAGAGUGGCGAGCCUGUGAGGGUGAGCGAAUCUCGGAAAGCCGGUCUCAGUUCGGAUUGGGGUCUGCAACUCGACCUCAUGAAGUCGGAGUCGCUAGUAAUCGCAGAUCAGCAACGCUGCGGUGAAUACGUUCCCGGGGCU
This 1346-nucleotide ribosomal RNA is filed under the name uncultured bacterium. RNAcentral's name for it is "bacterial SSU rRNA". It matches the Rfam family "Bacterial small subunit ribosomal RNA", at positions 28 to 1381 of the family's 1533-position model. The record is from RNAcentral.